GUGGCCUAGUGGUAAAGCAUUCGUCUCGGGAGCGGGAAAUCACGGGUUCGAACCCCGACCGAAUCA
This is a non-coding RNA of Potamilus streckersoni, 66 nucleotides long. The record is from the annotation of a GenBank genome assembly. NCBI's taxonomy places the organism in Eukaryota, Metazoa, Mollusca, Bivalvia, Unionida, Unionidae.